GACGAACGCUGGCGGCGUGCCUAAUACAUGCAAGUCGAGCGGACAGAAGGGAGCUUGCUCCCGGAUGUUAGCGGCGGACGGGUGAGUAACACGUGGGUAACCUGCCUGUAAGACCGGGAUAACUCCGGGAAACCGGAGCUAAUACCGGAUAGUUCCUAGAACCGCAUGGUUAAAGGAUGAAAGACGGUGUCGGCUGUCACUUACAGACUGACCCGUGGCGCAUUAGCUAGUGGGGGGGGUAAUGGCUCACCAAGGCGACGAUGCGGAGCCGACCUGAGAGGGUGAUCGGCCACACUGGGACUGAGACACGGCCCAGACUCCUACGGGAGGCAGCAGUAGGGAAUCUUCCGCAAUGGACGAAAGUCUGACGGAGCAACGCCGCGUGAGUGAUGAAGGUUUUCGGAUCGUAAAGCUCUGUUGUUAGGGAAGAACAAGUGCGAGAGUAACUGCUCGCACCUUGACGGUACCUAACCAGAAAGCCACGGCUAACUACGUGCCAGCAGCCGCAGUAA
This 512-nucleotide ribosomal RNA is filed under the name uncultured bacterium. RNAcentral describes it as "partial 16S ribosomal RNA". It matches the Rfam family "Bacterial small subunit ribosomal RNA", at positions 28 to 523 of the family's 1533-position model. The record is from RNAcentral.